GGACAUGUGUCUGAGGGGGCUGGAUUCGAUUCUGGGAGCUUUUUUAAAUGUUCUUUUAAAAUGACUUUGUUGAAAGGGAGGAAUCCCUUUGAAAAUUUUAUAAAAAUCUUGACUUUUAAUCUUCUAAAAUAUCAUUUUGUGACAGUCUAAGUCUUAAAGAGAAUGAUGUUUAUUUAUCAUUUAAAAAUCUUAAAACUAAGCAUGAGUUUAAGAGCUAAUGAAAAGAAAGCAUACCAAGAGGUAUAACUCUACUUCUGGAAGCAUCAUGGAUUCUGAUGAAUAUUCUUAGGCAUCCUUAAAAGUCCUAUUUGAAAUCUGUUUUACUAUUCAAAUUCAGGAUAAAAACGUGCUGUGGUUUGAUAUUCUUAGAAUUACUUGUGAUCUGGUAUAAUCAGAGGAGAAAGCGCUGCCUAAAAGAUGUUUGAGGUCCAAGCAAAUGUCCAUGAAACGCAAUCCUGGAAAGUUCCCUGGCUUCUGCUCCUGGCAUGGUAAUUACAAGGGAGAGCUUACCCAUGAAAAUAAGUAAUGAUUCUGGUUUUGCCCAUUUUCCCAUAGUGUCAGUAUUUUGAGCCAAAUAGCAUUUGACAUGGGAGGCUGUAGUGGUGGGAGCAACUGAAAAUUGUUUCUCAAUCCUCUAGUGCGUAUAGCUUUCAAUAAAAAUAAUUUUAAACACUCAAAUCUGUACAAUGUAUUAGUAACAGUUUCAAUGAUUUUAGAAUGUUACUUAGGCAUUUUGAUGCAUUUUUUACACUUUUGAGCCUCAGUGCAAACCCCUGAGAUUUAAUGCAUAUAAUGUGUUUAAAAUAAAUAAAUAGUAUCUCAGAGCAAUGAAUUUGACUAACACUGAUACAUGUAGUAAGUGGUAGAACUGUAGCACAGCUAAGAUCUUCAGAUAUUCCAGACUAAUGUGUCUACAAUAGAUGUUUUCUAAGUAAAUAAUUUUCCACCAUUGCUUUCAAUGCUUCUUUACAUCCAUCAUUCAGAUUUCCAUCAUUUAGAAGGUGCCUCCUUGAAAAAAUAUUUACCUAAGAUUCCAUAGCAUGAGUUGGUUAGGACUGAGGGAGAAUAUGAAAUUAAAAAUUUAGGGGUUUUGCUCUCAGACAGAGGCUUAUCAGGUUGGACACAUUUCAAGGGGGAGAAAAGACCAAAUGUUUUGGCACCAGGAUGGAUUUUACGAAAUGACACUUACGAAAUUUUACUUCUUGGCUUCUCUGCUUUGUGAUUCUCAGCAUUUUUAAAUGUUGGUAUUAUUUUCUCUCCUUGAAAGUCACAACUGGAAUAAUAAUAUUUCAGAAUACUGCACCAAAAUGUGUCUUGCCAUUCAAGACUCCAAAGCUUAAAGUUUUGGGUGAGUAUACAAGGCU
This 1364-nucleotide long non-coding RNA is filed under the name Bos taurus (domestic cattle). RNAcentral describes it as "long non-coding RNA NONBTAT020241". The record is from RNAcentral. Lineage: Eukaryota; Metazoa; Chordata; Mammalia; Artiodactyla; Bovidae.